RNAcentral lists this ribosomal RNA (261 nucleotides) under uncultured bacterium. Its description in RNAcentral is "partial 16S ribosomal RNA". It matches the Rfam family "Bacterial small subunit ribosomal RNA", at positions 524 to 776 of the family's 1533-position model. The record is from RNAcentral.
GACAGAGGAUGCAAGCGUUAUCCGGAAUGAUUGGGCGUAAAGCGUCUGUAGGUGGCUUUUUCAAGUCCGCCGUCAAAUCCCAGGGCUCAACCCUGGACAGGCGGUGGAAACUACCAAGCUGGAGUACGGUAGGGGGCAGGAGGGCUCGUAGAGCCGGUGGAGCGGUGAAAUGCGUAGAGAUCGGAAAGAACACCAAUGGCGAAAGCACUCUGCUGGACCGCAACUGACACUGAGGGAACGAAAGCUAGGGGAGCGAAUGGG